UAAAAGAAAUCACUUUUAGUACCGCCUGCUCAAUGAAUUUUUAAUAGCCGCAGAACAACUGUGCUAAGGUAGCAUAAUCAUUAGCCUAAUAAUUAUAGGAUAGAAUGAAAGGUAGAACAAGUUUCCUCCUUUAUUAAAAGACUAUUUAAAUUUAAGAAUUAAGUAAAAACCCUUAAUUAAUCAGGGGGACGACAAGACCCUGUCGAACUUAACUUCCAGUUUAGCUGGGGCGGCAUAAAAAUCACAUCUUUUUCUUCAUUUCCCCAAAUAACCUCCUAUUUAGAUAAACAAGUUACCGCAGGGAUAACAGCAUAAUUUUUUCCCAAAGACCUUAUAAAAGAAAAAGAUUGUGACCUCGAUGUUGAAUUAAAUCCCUACUAGAGGCAGAACUCUAAAAAGGAAGUCUGUUCGACUUUUAAACAUUU
Molecule: ribosomal RNA, 425 nt
Filed under: Kwonkan sp. MYG164
Lineage: Eukaryota; Metazoa; Arthropoda; Arachnida; Araneae; Anamidae
Description: partial 16S ribosomal RNA
Rfam family: Archaeal large subunit ribosomal RNA
Source: RNAcentral